Gallus gallus (chicken) is the source of this 1046-nucleotide long non-coding RNA. The record is from Ensembl. NCBI's taxonomy places the organism in Eukaryota, Metazoa, Chordata, Aves, Galliformes, Phasianidae.
AUCUUUGGGAUUUGGAUUGAUAUAUUGGAAGGAGUGCUGUGUAGCUAUUCUUUUUACCAGUUGGGAACUACGUUUCUCCAUGAUUAGACAUUUUAACCAUUCUGUUUGGACAGCAUCUCUGUGAAGCCAUUGUGCCAAGCAAGACCUGAAUAUUUGCAAAUCCUAAGGUUAUCUGAUAUACACGCUGCACAUUCGCUUCCAUAAAAAAAACUACUGAGACUUUGAGGUUGGCUCCAGUCUGAAGACCAGCAUUUGUCCUAGACUCUUGAGGACUGAGGAGAUGCUUGCAACAGAGCACAAGUGUAAGUUUCCUAGCCUGCCAGUCAGCCAGGAAAGGUGUUCAUGUGUGGUCGUUAAGUCUGGAAGCUCUCUAGCUAGCUAGCUUUCCCCAAUUUGUAAACUUACAGUAGGACUACACCAGAGAAAUGCAUCUAUUUUUACUUACGUGUUGUGUUUGUCUGCUCUCCUGGUUUUGUGGGAAAACAAUCCAUAUGUCUUUUUGGUGUAUUUGGUAGAAGGAAUGCAGAGUACGCUGGGGUUUGUAGGGAACAGGAAGGAGAAGGAGAGGGAGAAAAUGUUGCUUAUAAGGGUAGAGAAUGCAAGAAAGGAGAGCAAGGAAAUUGCAGCAGUAAGACUGCUGGAUGACUCAAGUGGGUAACAGAAAGUCUGUGUAUAGACCUGUGUCACCCAUUUUGUGAAAACUGUCCCUUUUAACUGCAUGGAGAUUCUGUCUUCAUGGAAAUACAUUUCUGAAGAGGGAAUAAAGUAUUUUCAUCAUUACUUUGGAAAUGUUCCCUCUCCAUUUGUGUUCUAAUUGCUUCUACUAGUUGUUUGUACUGCCAACAUACUGUGCUGUUCAAAUCAACACAAAUCUAAAAAGAUCUGGAACUGUUCAUUUGCUCUGCAUUGGAAAGAAACCUCAACAACCUUGUAUACUGUACUUAAUUAUAGAAAAUCUGUGGGUUGCUUUUUACUAUUAAUACUGGUCUAAGAUAGUUGAGACUGCCUUUGUUUGGGAACUUUUCAAAACUAAAGUAUUUCAACAG